This 384-nucleotide ribosomal RNA is filed under the name uncultured bacterium. RNAcentral describes it as "bacterial SSU rRNA". It matches the Rfam family "Bacterial small subunit ribosomal RNA", at positions 350 to 751 of the family's 1533-position model. The record is from RNAcentral.
AGCAGUGGGGAAUAUUGGACAAUGGGCGCAAGCCUGAUCCAGCCAUGCCGCGUGAGUGAUGAAGGCCUUAGGGUUGUAAAGCUCUUUUGUCCGGGACGAUAAUGACGGUACCGGAAGAAUAAGCCCCGGCUAACUUCGUGCCAGCAGCCGCGGUAAUACGAAGGGGGCUAGCGUUGCUCGGAAUCACUGGGCGUAAAGGGCGCGUAGGCGGUCUUUUAAGUCGGGGGUGAAAGCCUGUGGCUCAACCACAGAAUUGCCUUCGAUACGGGAGACUUGAGUUCGGUAGAGGUUGGUGGAACUGCGAGUGUAGAGGUGAAAUUCGUAGAUAUUCGCAAGAACACCGGUGGCGAAGGCGGCCAACUGGGACCGACACUGACGCUGAGG